CAAUAAUAGUGUUCUACCUAUCGUGAAUUUUUCAACACUACGAAUAAUCAACUUAUUGUCCUAAUGGUACGCAGACAUUAAAACAAUGUAAAUAGGCAUAUUAAUGGAAUCACAACACAAGAAUUAAGAUAAAAACAUAGGUCUCGAAUCAAAACUAAAAAUUAAACAAUUUUGUAAUCCAUCCAAUACAUGAAAAUAUUUAGCCUAGCAUAAGAUUGGAAUUAAACAAAGAAAAGUGGGAGGACAUCACCAAGAAAUUGAUGAAACGUGAUUAAUUUCCAAAUUAUUUGCACAAUUGUUGAAGAAUAAUUGCACAAAAAUUCAGCCAGCUUUUCUACGUUUUUUGCUUCAAUUCCAGCGUGUGUUUGCUCUGUAUAUAUAUAAAAAAUCAGCCGCCUUAUGUAAUGUAUGGUCAAUCCCCAUGGCAGCCAUUUUGACUCCAAAUACAGCCAUUUUCUGUGAAUUUUCCCCCUUUUUAUUCUUCAAAACUAGUCUCUUUUUCCUUGCCUUCUUUCCCAGCAGCUUAGCCCUUUUUUUAAUCUAUUUAAAACCAAUUCCCAAAGUAGGCUUCCACUUUCUGUGCGUAAAACAUAUAUAACAGCCAGCUACCUUGUUUUACUCCAAAAAGAAUUCAAUUGCUCAUGAAAUUGGCUUCCUGUGUAUAUAUAUAAUUCUCCACCCAGCUACUAUGUUUGAUUCCACAAAGAACUCUAUCUUUUGCCUCCUUUUCUUUGACCUUGUAGCUAUCAUUUUCUAUCUCUGUAUAUAUAUAUAUAUAUAUAUAUAUAUAUCAGCCCACUUCUCUGACAUAUUUCUGCUGGCCACCGUUUGUAUGUGUGUCUCCCUAUAAAUUUCAAGUUCUUGCCUUUUAAUUUCCCUACAGUUGCACUCCAAAAUUUUUUUUCUCCUCUAGCAGCCCCUAUUAUGUCUCUCCUCCCGCAACUCCAUGUGCAUGAAUAUAUC
RNAcentral lists this long non-coding RNA (963 nucleotides) under Olea europaea subsp. europaea. Lineage: Eukaryota; Viridiplantae; Streptophyta; Magnoliopsida; Lamiales; Oleaceae. The record is from RNAcentral.